CUUGAAGUCUACUUCCUAAAAUAUUAUAUAAUCGUAUAUCAAUGUAAUCGUAUAAAUAUGGUAUGUCAUGCGUGACCUCAUCAGAAUAGCACACAUCCGUCUUGUAGUAAAACGCCCUAUCUUUGAAGUUAUGCCUUUAUGUGCACAUGGAAACGCACAUAUAGUCUCAUCGGCUCUAUUGUCUCAUCUUUCAUCGGCUCUGUUGACAUUUUUUUUUAUCUCUCUUUUUUUUAUCUUAUCUUUUUUUUAUCUUUCUUUUAGAAAAUGGAAGUCACUUAAAAAAAUAUUGUUUAUCUUUCUGUUUGUGUGAAUUAGAAUUAAUAUACGAUCAAGAAGAAAUUUUUUUUUUGGAGAAUCAUGGAGUACGCAACUAAUCGAUAUAGAUGGCACAACUAGGUGGCUAAAGCAAAUCGAAUCGAAGGGGAAAGUUCCAGCCGGAACCUCUACCACUAGACCAAGAAGAGAAUAAUUAGUUUUGAUUCCGUAUUCGAAUGGGAAGAGAGGGUCGUCUUUCGUGUCGCCAGCGUGUAUCGGAAGCUUAUCAACACUAUUCAUCCACGUGCAUGGCAACAUGCCGUUGAAGGGAUGAUCGCCAAACAAGACUCAGCAUCUCCUUCGGUUCCUGGAAGCCAAGCGACUGAAAGAGCGUCGAUGGUGCCAGGCAGAACCGGCUCAACACUGUUACGGACCCUAAGACGAAAAAUAUUUUUUUUUACCUUCUAAAAUUUAUAUGUAGAUAAUGUUUAAAAUAUUUUCAAAAUUUAAUCAAUAAUAUUUUGUAAUAAAAAUAAAACUAUAUACAUAUCAAAUAAUUUGGGCCCUUUUCAAUUUUAUUUAUUAUAUUUAUAAUUUUUUAUAUAUGAAAAUAUAGAUUACAAAAAAAUUGGGUCUCUUAAUUAGUAUUAUACGGGGGGACACGAGCUUGGGUCCGGAGCGAUCGCACUACUUGUCCCCCUAAUAAGCCUGCCCUGGUGCCAAGGUACUCGAUCAUGAGAGGACUUCCUGUGACUAGGACCACUAGACACAUCAUGCCACUACCACACGUGUGGCUGAUCGAUUCUGGACCUGGUGCGGCUAUGCUUAGCGUGCUGCUGUCCCCUUGUGUCUCUUCGUAAAUCAUAAGGAGCUUCACCUGCGACCACAAUUGUGUAUGCUGCGUCGGCGUGAAGCUGCCUUCGAUGUAUAGUCGUCUGGUGCCUCCACGUAUAUUUUGUGAUUUACCGAUCCUUGUAGUGAAAGUGAACAUGUGCAUAUCAAUUUAUAGUAACAUUUUUUUUCUAUAAAACAGACGUUAGUUAAUCCCAAAUAGUAAAAAAAAUUAAAGUCUGCUGUUUGUGUUAGCUCUCUGUUUCUGCUUUGUGUGAGCUAAUUUAAAGUGAAUCCAAA
Long non-coding RNA from Brassica napus (rape), 1386 nucleotides. RefSeq lists it as uncharacterized. Lineage: Eukaryota; Viridiplantae; Streptophyta; Magnoliopsida; Brassicales; Brassicaceae. The transcript is spliced from 2 exons. The record is from RefSeq and is a predicted model, not a curated record.